CGAUAAUUCGGAUGGUAGCAGGCGGGGCGAGGCCAGAUAUGCUAGUUCUGCACGCGGGGGGCAAUGACCUGGGCCUCAUCCCGCAACGUCGGUUGGUAAAAUGGAUGAAGCAGGACCUGAACAGGUUUUCGAUCUGCUUCCUGGGGUGAUGCUGGUGUGGUCUGAGAUUGUUCCGAGGCGUCGGUGGCGGCACGCGAGGGACCCAUUGGCCAUUGACAGAUGCAGGGGAAAAGUUAACAGCUUGAUGGCAAGCUUCGUGAGGAAAUUGGGGGGCGUGGUAGUGAGGCACGUAGAAUUGGAAGGCAGGCUGCCGGGUUAUUACCACACAGACGGUGUCCAUCUUUCAGCGGUGGGUCUGGAUUUGCUGAACUUGGGUUUGCAGGAGGGGAUGCAGAGGGCUCUCUUUCUUCGGGGUGGCGGAGCUCGGUCGGCUUGAGGGGUCAAGGUCCGAGCUUGUGGCGGGAUAGAGAGCUAGGGAAGGCAAAAUAGGCUCUCCAUGAGGAACGUAAGGAACAUGAAGAAUUGUGGUCACUGGUGGAUGGUGGGUUUCGAGUCCUGGAGGUGGCUCAGAACCUUGUGGGGUAGGGGUAUCUGGGUAUACCCCUACCGUGGUUACUUAUGGUUGCAUUCAAAUCGGUUCAUGUUGGAGUAAGGUUAAAGCGUUAUUUAUAUAUAUUUAUGUGUUGGUUAUGUUGGGUCAUUGCCCUGAUAUUUAAUGAAGGUAUAGAUGCGAGGGCGGAGGAUGGGGGGCAAUGAC
Non-coding RNA from Pelobates cultripes (western spadefoot toad), 757 nucleotides. Lineage: Eukaryota; Metazoa; Chordata; Amphibia; Anura; Pelobatidae. The record is from the annotation of a GenBank genome assembly.